CUACUGGGAAAACCAACAGUCACUUAAAAUGGAAUUAAAAAGGUUUUAAACCACGCUUAAAGUAAAUAAUAAAUGAAAAAAAAGAAAAUGAACCAACUCUCAGAACUCUUCCUCUCUCAAUCUCUCUGUCUCGUCCAAUCUCAACGAUGCUCUCUCAAACUCUCACGCCCUCCUUCCAUCUCGUUCUCUCUCGAAACCGCCUCUCCAUAUCUCGUUCACGAACCUCUCUCUCAAACGCUCUCACUCAAACUCUCAAACUCUC
This 262-nucleotide long non-coding RNA is filed under the name Lathyrus oleraceus (garden pea). RNAcentral's name for it is "Pisum sativum (pea) long non-coding RNA (PSAT_LNC001215)". The record is from RNAcentral. Lineage: Eukaryota; Viridiplantae; Streptophyta; Magnoliopsida; Fabales; Fabaceae.